Folsomia candida is the source of this 3677-nucleotide long non-coding RNA. RefSeq lists it as uncharacterized. The transcript has 5 exons. Lineage: Eukaryota; Metazoa; Arthropoda; Collembola; Entomobryomorpha; Isotomidae. The record is from RefSeq and is a predicted model, not a curated record.
UCUCACAAGUGGGACGUUGAGACAAUGUGAUCUCAGUUUUUACUUGUGACGUUACUUGUUUUUGAGGAAGCUAAUCUUCGCCGGAUUUCGAUUUUUUCGUACUUUUUCAAAUUAAUUUUCCACAAACUGGGAGAUAUUGUGUUCAGUUUUAGAAAAGCUGGCCCAGAUAUAGAAAACAUGAGUAGCUGGAUUAUUUAUUUAUAUAAAUGUUCCGUUAUUUAACUAGUAAGCAGAAUUUGGAGAACAGAAAAUGCUCAAGGACAAAAAAUUAUCCCGAGAAAAUCGCGUAAAAAAAUCUGGUAAAUUGUAUGUACUGAGGAUUUCUUUACGACGUGGGAUAGAAUUUUGCGAAUUUCGGCUGUCUCAAAUAUGUUCCACUCCAAUAAUUCUUCCCAUGGAUUAUGUAGACUCAGAUCUUAAUUUCUUCUCCGAUUCUUCCAUUGGACAAACGCUUAUUAUCAAAUUAUCCUUUUCACCUUGCUUUGAGGUCCUUCUCUAAUCAUUCGUUUUGUGUCUGGAUUUCCUCGUUAUAUAUUUUUCAUAAAUGCAGCCAAUUCGAAAAAAAUGUCUGGAGCAGCCAAGAAGGGGUGCCGCUCUUCCAAUCAGCAGGUUUGAAGACACCUCCGGCAUAUUUAACGACAUGCCUACAUAAAUUCCUCACCAUAUAAGUGAUUAUCUGUGAAAACUCCAAUUUGUACCUUAUUAAUUUUGGCAGAACUCUAACACAAAUUUUCUAUCUUAUUGAUACUAACUCAGGAUUUUGAACCUAUACCGAGCUAAGAAAUCGAGUACACAUAAUUCAUCCUAAAGUUGCGUAGGCGUCCUUAACUUCCGGAGAUACGUCGCAGAGUAAAUAUGGGAAUGCAAACUUGGAUUUAAGGUCGUUAAACGAAUUAUUUAACUUUUAGGAUAGUUUAUUUAUGUAAUUUUGAAGAGGUAUGAGUCCCGUCAUCUUUAGGCAAUAAGUAAUUAUAUUAAUGUAUUUUAUCAACGAAAUUACUUAGAUAUAAGUUUAGUUUAAUUAAUUUUCUUACCAUAGCGUCCAACAUUUUAUGGCGCCAUGUAAAUACGUACCAAAACUUUGUUGUUGUGGGGGUACAUUUUUAUUGAAAGUUAACGUGCACGGUUUGAUCUUUUCCGAUUUGUAUCAUCAGUGAUAAUUUUAGUUGCUUUUUGAAUUCAAAUUAAGCAAUUCAUUUGGAGCGAAUUAAAGUAUGGACUGCACGGCGAUGGUCUUCAUAUCCAUGAUAUUCGGAGUAUUCAUGUGUCAGUAUGCAAGAUGGAUGUAUUUACUCGUUUAUUCAAAAAUGUGACUGAAAUUUGAGAAUAUCGAUCUCAAAUUUUAAAGGGUCGGAGGAUUGCAUUUGUUGUAUUUAAAAGCAAACCCGUGGUUCAAUAAUUCAUAUUUAUUUAGAUUUAAAACCUUCAAAAAAUUUACUGUCGUUCAUUGGUGGGUUUUUUGCACUUCCUAAAAGUUCACCGUGUUUUGUAUGGAUCCACAUACAUACACACAUAAACGUUAGACUUAACUUUGUAGAGGUUCCACAGUUGACAGGAUUUGCAUUUUGUUCAGCAAGUAUUUGCUUUCUUUACUUACGGUUUUUACGCUAAAUGGAGUCUCUCAAUUUCAGUGUUGUCCUGUGCAAAGUUAUCUCAUUAUACUUGCAGCAUUUUCACCAAGUAUUUUCUGGCCUCUGGCUCAGCUUCAUGAUUAAGAUUAAUAUCGAAGUGCUUCUCGUCAAAUUCCUUUUUUAGUUUGUCUUCAGAGUUUUUCUGCCCUCCUAUGGAUGUUCCGGCCGUGCUUAUUAAUUUAGCUCCAAUGGCUUCUUUUCAAGGUCGUGCUAUUAUAAGUACUGAACCAUUCUGUAAGGUCCCCGUGUGUGGAUUUAAAUUCCAUACUGGUACAAACAAAUUUUCUGGAUCUCAGGAUACUUAAUCCCGCAUUUCCAUUGUCACGAGAAAUGGGUAAAAAUAGACAUCACACUCCUUUCGUACUACCUUCGUUGUUACUCGUGCAGCAAUGCAGUUGUUAAUUUCGAUACAUAUCGUCUCUCUCAUCUUUCCUUCGACUUUGUUCGACUUGAUUAAUCGUCAUUUCUCAUAGUAGAUAAAUUUUUGGGAGAUCCUUGGAAGCGGACACGUUUAUUUGAAAUCAUUGGUUGGGUUAGGUUAGUUAAUUUUUCAAUAUUCCAUUUUGACCAUUGUCGCUUCAAGUAAUCGAAUUUCUUGUUGAUUGGCUUCGCAGCAAGGAUCGCCAGACCUAUUGUGAGCAAUGAAAUUUAAUAAAUAAUAAAGUUGGGUCCUUCUAGUUAGUAUCUUUCUUAUACUGUUCUUCUGUUCGAGUCCAUGAAAAAUGUUUUGUAUAUUACUAUUGAGCGUUUGGCUGCUUAAGAACCUAGGGACACAAAACGCAUAAACAAUUAUCGGUGUUGCUUGUAGAUUUUUCAGGGGCAUCAUUAAUCACAUUCUUCCCUGCGUUUAACUUUCAUUAAAUACGAGGCCAUCUUAAUCAGUUUUUUAUGUUAAGCAACUUUCAACAAAUGGGGGAAUUAAAUAUGGUACAGACUGAUUGGUACAAUCAUGUAUUCAGAUUUUAAACUUUGACUUUGUUUAUCCAUGUCCAUUACACAAAACCCAUGGUAAAGGGUGAAAAAUUAUUCUACAUUUUCACAAGUGCUUGCCUGGUACUCUUUUGCAACUACCUUAAAAUUUUUGCACGUAUUUCACUUGGUUGAUUAAAUUGGAAACUUCCUUUGUAUACAUUUAAUAUCUUGUGAAAUUAUUGUGAUUUUACAUGUGGUCGAUUUUUAACAGCAGAAAUAUUGGUAUCUCGGUGCUCCUAAAGAGGGGUUAGUGUUGCCUGAUUUGAUUUCAACUUCAUGUACGUAUAAAGUCAUAUCUCAUAACUAGUAGCUUGUUCCACUGAAAUGCUGGGAACCAUAAAUGUUCAUUAAAUAAAAAAUGUUAUGUGCAAGGAAAUGAUGAUGUUUUGAUUGAUUGUUUCCGAGACGAUCGGUUUAUAAGACGAAAGUCCUCGAAAUAACAGAUUCUUCUGUCGUAAGUAAAAAUCGAGGGGGGUUUCAUCAAUUAGGAAAUGAAGAACAUCAUAACUUAUUAUCUUCUUCAUUUCCAUUGUACCACGCCGCCGACUCAUGUCCCUGAAGUGGCAGGUAAGUAACCAGGGUAGCCUAAUCCCGGUAAGUCUCCACAAUUUCUAUUUUAAUCCCAUACGUGGCCUCUUCCCACGGCUCCAACUCGGGGCCGAAGAAGUAGGGAGAUUUGCGGGCGAGCUUCUCCGUGCCGUCGUGCAUCACUCUAGAUAUUACUGAAUUCUGACGGUGGUUAUAGUACCAACUAAAUUAUUGCCUGUUAAAAGUUUAUAUGAAGGGAUAGAAAACGCCAGAAUAAUCAUGAACUUGUAGCGAUUUCUCGCCACGAGACGCAUGAUGAAUGCGCUGUAGAGCUUCUUUGCUGUCUUGUUUUCGAACUUUUGACAAUGACAUUUUCCAGGGGAAAGUCUCAGGAAAGUUUAGUGGAGACUGGGCCACAAGUGGAGAUUACUAUUGUCUGGUGUGAAAGAAAGGAUCAGGUCUAGAGUUGUGGUUGAAGUACAAGAAAAUAGCCAAUUGGUUACAAAAAUGAGUAUUAGGAGCAGAACCCUCCAACCUGAUAGUUAU